This is a non-coding RNA of Microcebus murinus (gray mouse lemur), 1748 nucleotides long. Lineage: Eukaryota; Metazoa; Chordata; Mammalia; Primates; Cheirogaleidae. The record is from RefSeq and is a predicted model, not a curated record.
CUCAAGCAAUCCUCCCCAAAACUCCUGGCCUCCCAAAGCUCUGGGAUUACAGGCUUGAGCCGCCACACCCUGACGGAUUAUAGCAUUUUCUAUACAAGGCUGGUUUAUGAGUUACAACCAUUUAAUUAGUUACAGUUUAUUUUCUUUCCCAUUCAGCUUGUUUUCUUUUCCUUUCCAAUUUAAAAGAGUGUAUUUGACAUUCCAUCUUAGACAAUGUGAUAGUCACAAAGUCUUUGUGAGAGAGGAAAGAGGGAAGUUAAUAUGCAAUGAAGAUCAACAGUUAAGAGGGAAGAGGUCUUCCCUGGACCUUUUAGUAAUUUACAACAUUUGACAAAACAAUGUCGGUAAGGGAGAAGGCUAAUCUGUAACAGAGAAACAAAGGUUCUAGCUGCUUGCUACCUCGAAACAGGUCCCAUUCCUUAAGGCUCAAAAGGUUUUAAAGUUCCAGCAAUUUAGGCUUUGAAUUACUCAUUUUCACAGGGAGAAGAGGGCUCUACCCCGAGGAAGAGGAGUUUGCAGUGGUUCUGGGGAGGCAAAACCUCAGCAAGUUUAAGGAACCAAAGGAAAGCUCAGAGGUCCAGCCCCACCUGCGCGCGGAGCCCUGGGCCGGCUGGCGUGGGUGAGCCGGGCAACGUGCCCGGGUGCCAGCGAGCCCGGGGCGGGAGGGCGGCAGGACCUGGCCCGUGAGAAAGCAGUCCUGCUGCAGGACAGGCAGGGCGUGGAGGGAGCCCGGGAAUCUCAUCGGCCGGAGGUGGUACAGAGAGAGGAAGGCGGUGGAAUGUUCUGGAGUGCAGGCUACAGAAGCACCUCACCAGACCAGGGCUGGAUUGGGUGUGGUUGUCCUGAAAGCAGAGGAAAAACAGCAAAAACAGAUAUUUUAAUGAAGUCGGUUUUCAGACUGGCGGAUUGUUCUGCCCUUCAUUAAAGAACCAAGGGGGUUCGUGUGGGGGUGGGGACAGCAUGAGUUUUGCUCGACUUCUCUCUUAUUCGUCGAUUUGGCUGCAAAUUUUGACUCCAAAAUCCAACCCCCCUCCUCCUCGAGAGCGUCCCGUCCCAAGAAGGAAUCUCGGUUAUGUCCUUUCAGGGGGCGUGAUCAUUUGACUAAUCCCCCACCCUGGCGAGGAGAGCUCUCCUUUGCACACGCAAGUUCUGCUGUGUUUGUGAAAAUGACCCGUCCUGUUCUUCGCUGCCUACCUGGAACUUCAUAAGCUAACCAUGAGCUAAGAAUCUCGUUAUUCAAACAACGAGCAGCCUGAUCCGUCGCAGCGGCGGUGCCUGUGGCCAUUCGCUCAGGACACGAUGCUUCUAAGACUUGCGAUGAUGUUAACGAAACACAUGAAGAAACUGUUGUUGAACAGUGAGAAGUUUUUCGAUUGUUUGGGAUGAAUACAAUGAAAGAUGCACACCAAGUACAGCACUUUAAAUGUUUCCUACCAGAUAUCAAGUGACUACCAAAGAGAAUUAAAUAACAUAUCUGAAAAGGUAAGAAACUGAAAUAAACCCCCUGCUAGCGGGGUUAUAUAGCCACUGGUAACCCUGCCCAACAAACGAAAAUUAUACCUACAAUUUCAAAACAUAACAAGCGGUUUAGAGCGCUGAUUCAAUGAAUGAGUUAUGCUCCAACUUAUCACUCUGUAAACAAUUUUAUAAAAAUAUAUAAUUUAGACAAUGAAAAGGCAUAUUGUAUGUAUUUCAUAAAAUGUUUUUGUAUUUUAUAAAAUCUACAUACGAUAUGUCUCAUGGUGUGG